Molecule: ribosomal RNA, 253 nt
Filed under: uncultured bacterium
Lineage: Bacteria
Description: partial 16S ribosomal RNA
Rfam family: Bacterial small subunit ribosomal RNA
Source: RNAcentral
UACGAAGGGGGCUAGCGUUGCUCGGAAUUACUGGGCGUAAAGCGCACGUAGGCGGAUUGUUAAGUCAGGGGUGAAAUCCUGGAGCUCAACUCCAGAACUGCCUUUGAUACUGGCGAGCUUGAGUCCGGGAGAGGUGAGUGGAACUGCGAGUGUAGAGGUGAAAUUCGUAGAUAUUCGCAAGAACACCAGUGGCGAAGGCGGCUCACUGGCCCGGUACUGACGCUGAGGUGCGAAAGCGUGGGGAGCAAACAGG